AGCAGUGAGUGGUUCUCCCGGUCACGGGUACCUGGGCUGUUCUCAUGGGAAAUUUGGACUAAAUUCCGCACCAAAUUUUUAAGAUGUUCUCUAAAUCCAGUCUGAAUGCUGAAGGCUUACUUAACCGGUUAAAAUAGGAUGUCAACAAGUGACGCAGGAGAGCUCAGAGUUGUAGGAGGAGAGACAGCUACGCCUCUGUACGGGACACCACCAGCAGCAGCAGCAACAAGGACACGGGCUACAACUGCAAGAGAACAACAAGAUGAAACAUUUGGUGAAACAUUCAAGCAGGAGGAACGCCAUGGUGACAAACGCCCAGCUGAGCAGUUCUCUCACCAAUCAGCAAUCACACAGAAGGAAACACACAAAGCACUAAGAAAGGACCAAACUUCUUCCUGUGGUGAUGCAGAUAUCCAGUUCCAGCAGUCCAGCUUCACCUCCUGCCACGUCCUCAGACUCUCCACUAAUCCAGGCAUAAAACACAGCAAGAGUUUAUACAGAUUGAUUGAACCACAGCGAUUUGAGAUCAAGGACAGCAGUUUUCAGAUUAAUGGAAGAACGUCUGCAUCACAAACCUCUAUAGAGGCACCCAGCAUCUAUCGAUUGUCAGAGGUAAUACCAUUUCCAGCCAAGGAGAAAGACAAGGUCAUCACUGCUGAUUGCAAUGAACUGGAGAUUACCAGGGACUUGAGCAGAACUCAGGCUUGUUCAAAUAGUGACUUUGGGACACAUAAGCUUAAUGCCUUGCAUAGACUUCCAUUUGGAUCACAACCAAGGACUUACACUGGAUCUCUAACUCGAGCUGAGUCAGAGGGAAAUAUACAGGACCGUACAAAAGGCCUUGCAGACCGUCUUCAGGAAUUAUCUGACCCGCCCAGAACUAUGUUGUCUUCCUCCAUGGUCACGGUUCUCGCUCCUCACUGGAGUGGCCGACUGCGACGUUCCAAAAGAUUUGAUGGAACCGGCAGCUCUGAAGCCCAGGGAAAUACGCAAGAUGUGACAGGUGCUGCAGCAAACCGUGGUUUUCAGCAGACUCGAAGCCAACAUGGUGUGGAGAGGGGGUUUACAGGUGGACUGGGAACCCAACUGAGGCCCCCAUUUUCAGAUCUCAGGAGGAACACAGUGGACUGGUCAACUAAAAGUGAUCCUUUGAGCUUGGAAUCUAAAAGGGAAAUGAUUAAAACUGUUUCUUUGGACGUGAACUCUGGAAGGAUGGACAAUAGAAAAAUAGACAGAGGUUCUUUAAGCGCUUUACCUACCAGUGCCUCUGUAUCGCAGAGCCAAAAUGAACAAAGGCAAAAUCCACAAACUGUCCAUCAAGGCGGACACUCAUCUUCAAGCUCCAAACCAACAACCAGCAACGUACUUCUUUCUUUAAGGAGAGGCAACAUCGGUGGCAAGAAUCUCUCACAGAGCUUUCUCAAUAAUAAUGAACAAGAGAGGCCAAAGCCGCUCCUCUCUCCAUCAUCUAUUUCUUACAGGACAACUGAAACUAGCCCUGUCCUUUCCCCAUCACCCUCCAGCCUGAGAGAGCAGAGCACCUCUGACAGGUUCAUCUUUGCACCUUUACCAGUGGACAAAAAUGCAGACGGCAAACCCUUUGUCCAACAGUCUCAGACAAUAAAUAGGAUUCAGUCCAGUCUCACAUCCUCACAGACAUUUUUAGGUAAAGGACCAUCAGAAAGUCAACAGAACUACAGGGACAGAAGUAAAACUCUAUUUUCAGAGACCCCAGUCUCCUUGUCCAGACAGCCCCCAUUUGACUCUUCUGCCCAAGUGAAAACCCAGUCCUUUCCUAAAAGGACCACGCUGAAACAAACUUCCUGGUGGAAGCAAGUUACCCAGGAAAGCAGUUUCCCUUUCACCCCAAAAGACACAACCAACAACAAAGACAAGCCAAACACAACCUUAAUUCCACCCUCCAAUAAUAAUAGUGACAUGACAUCUCCAAGUCAGCCUGAUAACAAAAGCAGGGGUAGUCCGGUCAACAACAACAGAGACAACAAUAACACAGCAGAGUCAGUUUGCACAGGUAAUAUGAACCUUUUUAUGAGGGCACAGGGAGGAACUCACCAUCUCGGACAAAGAAAUGCUGGGAAUUCACCUGACUGUGAUUUGCACAGGUCUGUCAAGGACCAGUAUAGCUCAAAUGUAAACAACAGAGAAUACCCAAAGCCGCACAGUGUGCCAGAUGUUUUGUCUAGUUCUAAAAUUAGCAGAGCUACAGCACAAACAACACUGUGUCAACCUAAAGAUCCAGGCAAAUAUGAUUUAACCGAUAGUUCAUAUACAGCAAAUAUGUCUGAGUUACCAUCUGCUUUGCAAAAUCCCAGGAGCUCAGAUACACCCACAGAGAGCAGCAGCAAGUACAAAAAUAAUUAUUUCCCACCAAAACCCAACAACACCCCCAUGCCUCCUCUCAGCAUAGACUCACACAGGUUUAUCAGCACACCGCUCUCUCUUGAUAUCACCAGUACUGUCAAUGGUAAAGUUCAUACAUGUCAAAAUGCCUCUGGUCCCCAAACCUCAAAAAUGAAAAGUAGUCCUUCCUACCAUUCUCAGUCUGUUCCUUCUCAGACCAAUAUUCAUACCUCGGCAUAUGCAACCUCCACUGGCUCUUUGUCCCAGAAAACAAAAUUUACCAACAUUUCCUCUGCCACACCUCUUGGAUUUGAAAGAAGCUAUGCUUCCAUUCCUAAACCUUUCCACCCUAAAAGUAUGUCCAGUCUGAUUUCCACAGUCGGUUCUGUCUCCAAAAAAGACUAUAGCGCCACUGCUUCCAACUCUUCUUCCUCUGCCACUGGCAGCCACCCUGUAGCCACCACUGCCUCAAGUUCUUCCCUUCUCAGUCCUGCGGUCACCUCUGCCGUUACCUCUCCUACCUCUGCCACUGUCUCCACUCUCCUAACGCCUCCUGCAACCCCAGUUAUUACCAACUCCACUUCAGAAACUUCAAGCCCUAAAAAAGAGGGGAAAUAUUCCAGCAGCUUAGAGAAAGAGCCAAAGAAACUUGAGAAAAAGAAAGUGAGAAGAGUGACAUGGGAUGACUCAGUGGAUCUGCAACAGUCAGAGUCCAUCGCUGUGGAGAAGCCAGAGUCGUCAGAAGUCCAAGCGACCCCUCAAGCUACAUCUAAGCACAUGCGAAAUGCUCCAUCCAUCUUCUCCUUUCUGAGAUUGAGCAGUUCAACAAGUUCUUCUGUUUGUCCCCCUAAACCCAAGACCUCCAGCAUUGAGGUGGAAAAACCAGGAAAGUAUAGAUCCUUAUCAUCUGACUCGGCUGAUUUAGCAUUCAGGGAGUUUGAGCGAAGCAAGCAAAGAGCUGGUGAUACUAUGAUUUUUUACCAGGGAAGACAGGACUUGCCCACACCAAGGCAUGAAAGGACACUAUCAGUGGAAUCUGGCACAGUUCAGUGCCGUACUUCAGCUCCUCUCUCCCUCCCUCCUGACUUUUCAAGUGGCUAUAAGGUUCGUUAUAGCUCUCCUCCUUACUCCACGCUCAUGUCCGCAAGGAUGACACAAGGGGAGACAAAGACGAGAACGACCAGACCAACCCUCUUCUCACAACCCUCCCAGUCAAAUUACACCCCACAUCUCUCUGUAAAUACUGACCCAGUUUCAGUCAUGACCUUAUCCACAUCCAAACCUCCUAUGUCACCUCCUAGACCCUCCCUUUCCUUGUCCUUACCCUUCCAAAAGAAACCUCCCAAACAAGAAAGUCCAAAUGUUGAGGUUUCAGAAGCUGAUCGAGCAAGCAACAAUAACAGCGGAGAUAAAGGCCAAGAGCGAAAGCUAUUACUUGUAGACAACAGAAUUCACAUCAGACCUCCUUCCCUGCAAGGUGAUAAGGCAGACGGCUCCACAUAUGUAACUGAGACACUGGUUUACAGCCUUAAAUCCAAAGUAGAUGCAUCAACAGCCGCAAAAAACACCACACCUAAUGCUUUACAGCAUACCAAUAACACGCCGGUUUCCAUGGAGACCAAAUUUAGUCAACAGUCCCUGACAGGGCAGAGUAUAGGAGCAGCAGGUGAACCAUGUCGUCAUUCAGGUCAGAGCUCCAACAGCAGCAGCUCAACAGAGAGUCAGUCCCGGGAGACAGAAGACUCCAGCAAAAGCAUGAAGGAGACUAUAAUGGGGAAAAGCAGGUUUUUCUCAGUGGACGUUAAUAAUGAACAAAACACAAAGAGAAGCCGAUUUGCACUGAAGAAGAGCGUCAGUACACCAAACUCCAGUUUGACAAGGUCAGAGUCAGACAGGGCCAAGAGUAACAACAAAGUAGACCAAGUCUUUAGCAAACUAAAGCAAAAAUUAAGCACAAGAUGGUCAACCUCACAAGCACCUUCUGUUAGCGGAUCGAGCGAUGUGAGUGUUGAGAGUAGCAAAAUUCCAGAGGAAACAGUGCCAGAGAAAGUAAUGGUGCUGAACGACAAUCAGGAAACAGAGGCUUCGAACAGGUGGACGCAAGAUAGAUACAUUCUGAUACCGUCCUCGGCUGCUGGAAACACAAAAGUUGGAAAUCAGCAUUCCAGCUGGACCGAAAAAUCAUCUCUAGAAACAGACCGUGACAUGCAAAAUGCUUGUGCAGAACAAAUUUCUGAAAAGAAAGGCCCAGUUUAUCUGACGGUCCACGGUCCAACAGUUGACCAGUUAGACCUUGAACAAGACCAAGUAGAUUAUAAAGCAACAAGCCUCUCUUCCAGAGAUCCAAGUCCCAGUAGAAGUCCAGCUUUUCCAGCUUCAUUCAGGAGAUCCACACCUAGUCCCAGGAGUCCAUUCUCUCCCUUCUCCUCUCUUUCACCAAUGUCCCCAUUUUCCUCGUCUGAUGUAACAGACGACAGCGUCUUCUACAGCCCAAAGCUGCACCGCCGCAGAGAAUGCUCCUCUCCGUGCGAGCACGGAGAAGGGAUCAGCUUGGGAGUUCCGAGAAAAAGCCGGGCAUCCGUAGGUCCUCCAUGUGUGAGCCCAGGACAUGACAAGGAAAACUUGGCAUCCUCUUAUGCAGACUUAAAGUAUGGCAUUGAGCCUGGGAAGUCCUUUUCUGUGAGUUCUGUUCUCUCCAGUCGACCCUCUGGACCGGGACGUAUUUCCACAGGAUCCAGAUUCAUGAGUGUGGGUGACCUCUCUCAGUCUGCCUUUUCUUGUGGAGGUAAUAGUGGAGAUUUGGAUCAGUGGUCUGUCAAAUCCGAUUGGAGCACAGUGUAUGACUUUCAGGCUUCUGAAGAUGGUCGAAAAUCAUAUUUCCCAAGUGAUCCUGGUAAAAUGCGAUCAAGAUCUUUGCCUCGAUCGCUGACCAGGUGCUUGGCAAACUGGAGCUCUGGAGACUCUCCUCAACAUGUAAAUGCUACAGCUUCCAAGCCUGCUCACCUCCGGAGUCCAAACAUGAACAUUUGCCAGUUUGUGUGGGAUGCAGAGGCCCCACCCACUCCUCCUCCAACACCUCCUCUGUCACCAGUGUCCAGGCGCAUGUCCAAAGCACCCAGCCUUUCCUCUCCGACCUUUCCUAGCUCGCCAGGAGUACUACAUCCAGGGGACAGCCAGUCCAGGGGGCAUUUGCCCUCCAGAGGUUAUGUAUCCAGCCUCAGCACCUUUGAUGAGUCAUCAGACAGCAGCUCGGACACAACAACUGAUGACGAAUACUACUUAGAAACAGAUGAUGAGGGAGAAAAAGAGACAGAACUGUAAAAGCAGAACAAGUGCUUUAAAAAUGCAAGUUUCUGAAACAUCCAUGAGGGAGGGGAUAAAGGAGGUGCUGUAAUCUUUUGGUGUGUAAUGACAUCUGCAUCUCUCCUGCUUUUGUUUUUUUGUUUUGUGUUUUUUCACUCUGUUGAGACCUGAGCUCAGUCGGGACACCAGGUAUCCUGCAUGAUUUGGUUUUCGGAAGUGGUUGUUGUGGUCAGGGUAAAAAUAUACACAAUACAAGUAAGCAUGGAUUAUCAGCAUAAGUUUAAAUACGUUUUAAGUAUGUACCAUAUGUUGUAUUUGAAUGCAGACCUGUAAUUCCUGGAUAACAAAUAGACAUUUAUAGUUUGAGUGUCGCAUGGCAUUAGUGAGGUAUAUGCUGUAUCUUUGUAGUUGUUUCAAAGAACAAACUACUCUGUAAGCUUAGGCUUUUUGCACAAGUCUUUAGGUUUGCAUUUCAUCCUAGUAGGUAGCAAUAAGUACUGAGGCAACGUGGAUAAAUGUGCUGUCAUAUGAUAUUCCAUCAUCUCUGUUCUGCUAUGUUUAAGAAAUGAAAUUAGUUUUUGGUAAAUGUUCUAAUCGUAAAGCUGAUAUUUUCUUAGCACUUGUUUUGUUUUGUUUUUCAAAACAGGAAGAGUUUUGAUUUUUUUUGUACUUAGGGAUGAAAUAUAAUCUUGAUAUGAUUAACAUUUGUUUUCACCCUUAUAAAGUGCUCUAUACGGUGCCUGCUCUUAUUUGCACAGUGAUAAAUUCUUAAUAUAUCUAUUUUAUAAAUAAAUGUAAUAUUUCUAACAAGACCUGAUGUUUUGGGGAUUUCUCAUCACCUUGGUUACACUUUUGUUGUUAUGUCAGAUUAUAUAACCAUCAUCGGCAUGAUUUGUCCUUGAGUCAUUAGUUUUGUCCAUUGCAGUGCUCGCAUGCUUUAAGUGAAAAGG
Long non-coding RNA from Astatotilapia calliptera (eastern happy), 6614 nucleotides. NCBI's taxonomy places the organism in Eukaryota, Metazoa, Chordata, Actinopteri, Cichliformes, Cichlidae. The record is from Ensembl.